AUUGAACGCUGGCGGCAUGCCUUACACAUGCAAGUCGAACGGCAGCACGGGGGCGAACCCUGGUGGCGAGUGGCGAACGGGUGAGUAACAUAUCGGAACAUACCCUAGAGUGGGGGAUAACGUAGCGAAAGUUACGCUAAUACCGCAUACGAUCUAAGGAUGAAAGUGGGGGAGUCUUCGGACCUCUCGCUAUGAGAUGAGCCCAAGCGGGAUUAGCUAGUUGGUGAGGUAAAGGCUCACCAAGGCUACGAUCCCUAGCUGGUCUGAGAGGAUGAUCAGCCACACUGGAACUGAGACACGGUCCAGACUCCUACGGGAGGCAGCAGUGGGGAAGUAUUGGACAAUGGGCGAAAGCCUGAUCCAGCCAUGCCGCGUGUGUGAAGAA
RNAcentral lists this ribosomal RNA (385 nucleotides) under uncultured bacterium. RNAcentral describes it as "bacterial SSU rRNA". It matches the Rfam family "Bacterial small subunit ribosomal RNA", at positions 30 to 412 of the family's 1533-position model. The record is from RNAcentral.